RNAcentral lists this ribosomal RNA (253 nucleotides) under uncultured bacterium. RNAcentral's name for it is "partial 16S ribosomal RNA". It matches the Rfam family "Bacterial small subunit ribosomal RNA", at positions 524 to 776 of the family's 1533-position model. The record is from RNAcentral.
GACAGAGGGGGCAAGCGUUGCUCGGAAUUACUGGGCGUAAAGGGCGCGUAGGCGGGAUGGCAAGUCGGUCGUGAAAUCCCUCGGCUCAACCGAGGAACGUCGAUCGAUACUGCUGUUCUUGAGGAUUGCAGAGGAGACUGGAAUUCCCGGUGUAGCGGUGAAAUGUGUAGAGAUCGGGAGGAACACCGGUGGCGAAGGCGGUGGUCUGGGCCGGAACUGACGCUGAGGAGCGAAAGCGUGGGGAGCGAACAGG